UAAUACUAAAGGGCUUUAACUGUAUUUUGACCAGGAUCCAAGGAAGGGCUCCUCCCGUCAUCUUGGCAGGGAUCCCACCUCUCUGAACCCCAUCCAAGUCUCAGACAAGCCCAUCCAUCUGCUUUCCAGGACUGCCUGAACACAUUGCCAUGCUCAGUCUCGGACGUUAUAGGGACAGCUUGGUGGUGAAAAGGCACUGUGAAGGACCUGGAUAUGGUUGACCUCCCUGUGCUUCUUGAAGCGGUUUCCGUGGGUAGACUGGCUGCUCCCCUCCUCUGGAAAGGGUUUAUACGGUGCUCCAGAAAUUCACAAAGGAAGAAGAUGUCCACAUUUCAUAAGAUUUUAUCAUCUAAUUCUGUACCAGUGAAUACUACUCAAAAACAGGUGUCAAGUAGCAAGGGAGAUGAAUGCAAGUUAGAGUGCGGCAUAAGGAGAAUAUCUCUCUCACAGUUGUACUUAACAGUUUUGAAACCUUCAGCCCAUCAUUUCACAUCUCUGAACUAA
This 504-nucleotide long non-coding RNA is filed under the name Anas platyrhynchos platyrhynchos (common mallard). RNAcentral's name for it is "lncRNA (ENSAPLG00000019762.1)". The record is from RNAcentral. Lineage: Eukaryota; Metazoa; Chordata; Aves; Anseriformes; Anatidae.